Bubalus bubalis (water buffalo) is the source of this 816-nucleotide long non-coding RNA. RefSeq lists it as uncharacterized. The record is from RefSeq and is a predicted model, not a curated record. NCBI's taxonomy places the organism in Eukaryota, Metazoa, Chordata, Mammalia, Artiodactyla, Bovidae. The transcript is spliced from 4 exons.
GAAUUACUGGUACCAGACACUUCAGCGCAUAAUCAUGCUCCAGAUGCCCUUGGCCCUCACCUUGCUCUAGUUGUUUUAAACAAUCAAGUUCAAUUAAACAAACAUGAAAUCAGUUGAGGGCUUUCUUCGGACAAGGCAUAAUGCUGGGUUGUGGGCAAUAAUGGAAUGGUGACUGAGACACAAAAUGCACAGGGUCCCUGCCCUCACGUGACAGACUGUAAACACGAGUAAUAAGCUUUGCCCAAGGUCCUGGGACACCAACAGGGCGGGGUUCACCCUUCUCUGUGCCUCCUGAAGCUCUCACACACUGCAUCAUCAAAAGUUCACUGGCUGGACCUGAACUCACAGAACAGGCCAACUAAGAAAUCAACCCAAGGAAUGGCUAGGAUAUCUGCACUCAAACUUGACUGCGAAGAGGAUUGGCCAUGGAGCCCUGAACAAGGACACACCCAAUCGAUCAUCCCACUCAGCAGUGACCUCCCGCUCCUUGGCCAAGCACGUGAGGCCUCCCUUCUGCACCUGACACCCCUGCUCACCUUCUCCUUAGCAGUAUGAUGCCUGCCCCGCCACAGUUGCAGCCCCUUUUCCUGAAGACCAGAUUCCAUGUCCUGCUCCCCCCGCCCCCAGCUCUGGCAGUUCAGGAAGCAUCCAUCAGCUGGUGGAGGGAACAGGUCUGGGCAGGAAAGGAUGGUGACACCCUUAAGGCACAGCCAAAGAUCCCGAGCAGAAGCUUAGCUACCCCUGGAGAAAGUCUGAACCAUAGACUCCUGACCCAUCCACACCUCUCACCUGUUCUGAGAGUCAGAACCCUUCACA